This 1210-nucleotide long non-coding RNA is filed under the name Brassica napus (rape). Its description in RNAcentral is "long non-coding RNA (BNAP_LNC000200)". The record is from RNAcentral. Lineage: Eukaryota; Viridiplantae; Streptophyta; Magnoliopsida; Brassicales; Brassicaceae.
ACCGGAGACGACGAGAUUCUCCGGCUUACGGCGGCGGCGCUUCCGAUUUUGGGCUUGUGCGAGAUAGGAAACUGUCCUCAGACGGUGGGUUGCGGUGUCGUGAGGGGAACGGCACGACCGUCGACGGCGGCGAACGUGAACCUCGGCGCGUUCUAUCUGGUUGGCAUGCCGGUGGCUGUUGGUCUCGGGUUUUGGGCCGGUAUUGGGUUUAAUGGGCUUUGGUUAGGACUCCUAGCAGCGCAGAUUAGCUGCGCCGGUCUUAUGUUGUACGUGGUGGGGACCACAAAUUGGGUAUUGGAGGCUGAGAAAGCGCAAACGCUAACAUGCGCAGAGACCGUAGAGAACGAUCUUAUUAAGACGGUGGCGAAUACUAUAGGGGACGACGGUGAGAGCGAUGAGGCACAGCCAUUGAUUCGCAUCACGGUGCUUUAUUAAUUAUAAAGUAUGGUUAUAAAUAUAUUUCCCCUCUUUUGAUAGAAGGAGAAAGUUUUGUCUUUCUUGCCUCUUCGUCGUCGCGUUCUUGAUCUGCUACGUCUGGGCAAGUGGACUCCACGUACCCACUUGGACCGACCCGACAUGGGACUGCUUACGAGGAUGGGGUCCUCUGCUCCGCCUCGCGGGACCCAGCUGUGUCUCCGUGUGUUUAGAGUGGUGGUGGUACGAGAUCAUGACCGUUCUUUGCGGUUUGCUCGUAAACCCGAGAUCGACGGUGGCGGCAAUGGGCGUUUUGAUCCAGACGACGUCGUUUCUCUACGUUUUCCCGUCUUCUCUGAGCUUCGCCGUGUCUUCUCGUGUCGGAAACGAGCUGGGAGCGAGCCGACCCAAGACGGCGAAGCUAUCAGCGAUGCUGUCUAUCGUUUUCGCGGCGGCAACGGGUGUUACAGCGGCCGCGUUUGCUUACUCCGUCAGAAACGUUUGGGGAAGAGUGUUCACCGGAGACGACGAGAUUCUCCGGCUUACGGCGGCGGCGCUUCCGAUUUUGGGCUUGUGCGAGAUAGGAAACUGUCCUCAGACGGUGGGUUGCGGUGUCGUGAGGGGAACGGCACGACCGUCGACGGCGGCGAACGUGAACCUCGGCGCGUUCUAUCUGGUUGGCAUGCCGGUGGCUGUUGGUCUCGGGUUUUGGGCCGGUAUUGGGUUUAAUGGGCUUUGGUUAGGACUCCUAGCAGCGCAGAUUAGCUGCGCCGGUCUUAUGUUGUACGUGGUGGGG